UACGGCUUUGGUCCUUGGCCUCCCAUUACUUUUUGUUAUACUUAUACAUGCAAGCCUCCACGAACCAGUGAGCACGCCCAAGCCGUCCCACCAGCAGGCGCACGGAGCGGACAUCAGGCACGCAUUAAGCAGCCCACAACGUCUCGCAAAAGCCACACCCCCACGGGCAUCCAGCAGUAAUAAACAUUGAGCAAUGAGCACACGCUCGACUCAGUAAUAACAACCCAUGCCGGUUAAUUUCGUGCCAGCCGCCGCGGUUAUACGAAAGGCUACAAAUAAUGAACCAACGGCGUAAAUCGUGACUAGAUUAAACCCCCCCAACAGAGAAACAACACCGCCAGGCAGUAAAAUGCGCCGGCCCACCGAAUAACCACAUACUCUGUACCGCCCAGUAAAUUGACUUCACGAAAGCCCAGACACAAACUAGGAUUAGAUACCCUACUAUGCUGGGCCGUUAACAGACAGCACAUACAACCCCGCUGUCCGCCAGAGAACUACGAGCGAAAAGCCUAAAACUCAAAGGACUUGGCGGUACCCCACUCAGCCUAGAGGAGCCUGUCCUAUAAUCCGACACCACACGUUCUACCCUACCACCCAUUGCAAAACCAGCCUAUAUACCGCCGUCGUCAGCCUACCUUAUGAAAGCCACCACAGUAGGCACCAAGGCUAACCCCAAAAGCCCGUACGUCAGGUCGAGGUGUAGCUAAUUGAGUGGCAGAGAUGGGCUACAUUUCCAUAAAACGGCCACACGAAUAUUAAGGUGAAACCCCUACUUGAAGGUGGAUUUAGCAGUAAAAUAAGCCAAACCGCUUACUUUAAACCCGCUCUGGGGUGCGCACACACCGCCCGUCACCCUCUUCACCCUAACACAAACAAAAACUUUCUUCCAACACUUUUACCCAAGAAGAGACAAGUCGUAACAUGGUAAGCGUACUGGAAAGUGCGCUUGGAUACA
This 955-nucleotide non-coding RNA is filed under the name Blanus cinereus (Mediterranean worm lizard). RNAcentral's name for it is "12S ribosomal RNA". It matches the Rfam family "Bacterial small subunit ribosomal RNA". The record is from RNAcentral. Lineage: Eukaryota; Metazoa; Chordata; Lepidosauria; Squamata; Blanidae.